AACCUCCGCAAUGUGAGAAAUCGCGACGGGGGGAUCCCAAGUGCCAUUCUUAACGGGAUGGCUUUUCAUUAGUGUAAAGAGCUUUUGGAAUAAGAGCUGGGCAAGACCGGUGCCAGCCGCCGCGGUAACACCGGCAGCUCUAGUGGUAACAAUUUUUAUUGGGCCUAAAGCGUCCGUAGCCGGUUUAAUAAGUCUCUGGUGAAAUCCUGCAGCUUAACUGUGGGAAUUGCUGGAGAUACUGUUGAACUUGAGGUCGGGAGAGGUUAGCGGUACUCCCAGGGUAGAGGUGAAAUUCUGUAAUCCUGGGAGGACCACCUGUGGCGAAGGCGGCUAACUGGAACGAACCUGACGGUGAGGGACGAAAGCUAGGGGCGCGAACCGGAUUAGAUACCCGGGUAGUCCUAGCCGUAAACGAUGCGGACUUGGUGUUGGGAUGGCUUUGAGCCGCUCCGGUGCCGAAGGGAAGCUGUUAAGUCCGCCGCCUGGGAAGUACGGUCGCAAGACUGAAACUUAAAGGAAUU
This 521-nucleotide ribosomal RNA is filed under the name uncultured bacterium. RNAcentral's name for it is "bacterial SSU rRNA". It matches the Rfam family "Archaeal small subunit ribosomal RNA", at positions 345 to 866 of the family's 1478-position model. The record is from RNAcentral.